RNAcentral lists this unclassified non-coding RNA (208 nucleotides) under Hevea brasiliensis (rubber tree). Lineage: Eukaryota; Viridiplantae; Streptophyta; Magnoliopsida; Malpighiales; Euphorbiaceae. The record is from RNAcentral.
CUCUAAGCAACGCCCAAUCCAAAAUCCAGCAAAUGACGACCUCCGUCAAGAACAACUUCUUCCCUCCAUCUCUCAUCUCUAAUAUCCAGCAAGUUCUCAUCAACAUGUCGACGCCGCCGGCGUAGAACAAACUUCUGCUAAGGAUAAUGAUCCGAUUCAAGUUGUUGCUUCUGCUACAUCUUCUGCUGAAAGAAGCACUGUCCACGGC